AUGGAGUACUGGGAACCCGAUGAGCAGCAUCUCGGUGACCUCGGGGUCGCCGGCAUCGGCCGCGAGGCCCUCCGAGUUCUCCGCGCCGUCCUCCCCAGCUUCGUCUCCCACGUACCCAACAUAUUCGUCUUCCUUGCCCACGUCUUCGGAUGCGUCACGGUCUUCUCCAGCCUCGUCUCCGGCGACCUCUCCAGGCUUCUCCACCUCUUCUUCUCCCCGUCCUUCUUCUACUUCCUCUGCGAUUCCGCCGUCAUGGAAGGGUACGACAUGCUGUUCGUGCUCUCCGUCGCCUCCUUCUACCGCAACAAGGGCGCCGGCCGGGCGGGGCCCAUGGCCAUCCCACGCCUCCUUAGACGCAUCAAUCGCGACCAGCGCCUCCGGCACUGCGCCACCUUCCUGCUGGCUGUCACCGCCUUCGGAGCUUACGCCGCCGUCUUCGGGUCCGCCUGGCGGACGCUCCGCCUGCUCGAUGCUCCGGGCGAGAUCGUCCUGCCGCUGCGACUGCUGGGCGGGGCCGCGUGCCUCGCCGGGGCGGUGUACCUCGCCGUGCUGCAAAGCCUCUCUGGUAGUAAUGCUAAUUAA
RNAcentral lists this ribosomal RNA (582 nucleotides) under Triticum aestivum (bread wheat). RNAcentral describes it as "partial small subunit ribosomal RNA". The record is from RNAcentral. Lineage: Eukaryota; Viridiplantae; Streptophyta; Magnoliopsida; Poales; Poaceae.